This 477-nucleotide ribosomal RNA is filed under the name uncultured bacterium. Its description in RNAcentral is "partial 16S ribosomal RNA". It matches the Rfam family "Bacterial small subunit ribosomal RNA", at positions 28 to 523 of the family's 1533-position model. The record is from RNAcentral.
GACGAACGCUGGCGGCGUGCUUAACACAUGCAAGUCGAACGGUAAGGCCCUUCGGGGUACACGAGUGGCGAACGGGUGAGUAACACGUGGGUGAUCUGCCCUGCACUUCGGGAUAAGCCUGGGAAACUGGGUCUAAUACCGGAUAGGACUCCGGACUGCAUGGUCUGGGGUGGAAAGCUUUGCGGUGUGGGAUGGGCCCGCGGCCUAUCAGCUUGUUGGUGGGGGGAUGGCCUACCAAGGCGACGACGGGUAGCCGGCCUGAGAGGGUGACCGGCCACACUGGGACUGAGAUACGGCCCAGACUGCUACGGGAGGCAGCAGCGGGGAAUAUUGCACAAUGGGCGCAAGCCUGAUGCAGCGACGCCGCGUGAGGGAUGACGGCCUUCGGGUUGUAAACCUCUUUCAGCACAGACGAAGCGCAAGUGACGGUAUGUGCAGAAGAAGGACCGGCCAACUACGUGCCAGCCGCCGCCGUAA